This is a non-coding RNA of Brassica rapa (field mustard), 162 nucleotides long. The record is from Rfam. NCBI's taxonomy places the organism in Eukaryota, Viridiplantae, Streptophyta, Magnoliopsida, Brassicales, Brassicaceae.
UCACUUACCUGGACGUGGUCAACUCGUGAUCAAGAAGACGAGUGGCCUAGGCUAGCGACCUCCAUUGCACUGAGGAGGGGUGCUUAGCCUAGGGUCUCCCCAAGUGGGAGAGCCUGCGUCAUUAUUUGUGGCAGAGGGGGCCUGCGUUCGCGCGGCUCCUAC